GAUGAACGCUAGCUACAGGCUUAACACAUGCAAGUCGAGGGGUAACGAGAGGGAAGCUUGCUUUCCUUGUCGACGACCGGCGCACGGGUGAGUAACGCGUAUCCAACCUGCCCCCAACUAGGGAAUAACCUUGCGAAAGUAAGACUAAUACCCUAUAAUUUCCUCAGAUGUCAUCUGACGAGGAAUAAAGAUUUAUCGGUUGUGGAUGGGGAUGCGUCUGAUUAGCUUGUUGGCGGGGUAACGGCACACCAAGGCAACGAUCAGUAGGGGUUCUGGGAGGAAGGUCCACCACUUUGGAAGUGCGACCCAGUCCAAACUCCUACGGGGGGCAACAGUGAGUAGUAUUGGACAAUUGGCGGAAGCCUGAACCAGCCAAGGAGCGUGCAGGAUGACGGCCUUAUGGGUUGUAAACUGCUUUUAUACAGGAAUAAAGUUAGCCACGUGUGGUUAUUUGUAGGUACUGUAUGAAUAAGGACCGGCUAAUUCCGUGCCAGCAGCCGCCGUAA
This 506-nucleotide ribosomal RNA is filed under the name uncultured bacterium. RNAcentral describes it as "partial 16S ribosomal RNA". It matches the Rfam family "Bacterial small subunit ribosomal RNA", at positions 28 to 523 of the family's 1533-position model. The record is from RNAcentral.